Oryzias latipes (Japanese medaka) is the source of this 1746-nucleotide long non-coding RNA. RefSeq lists it as uncharacterized. The record is from RefSeq and is a predicted model, not a curated record. Lineage: Eukaryota; Metazoa; Chordata; Actinopteri; Beloniformes; Adrianichthyidae.
AAACUCUUAAAACACGAUUAUACAUAUCCUAAAGGUGGUUGGUUGCAUUUAUUUACAUGCGAUAAAACACAAGAACCGAUAGAAAUUCACGCUGGCCGCUCGUAAUACAUGCAGCCAAGAUGCACAUUGCUCCAUUGCCCGCCUGUAUUUUAAGUGUCUCCAGGGCUAAAUGUUGUCGGCCACAGAUACUUCCUAUGGGUCCGUGUGGCCAGGCAAAAAGUACUAUAUAUUUAUUUAGAAAAUUAAGUGUGAAUAGUCAAUUUAGAUCUAACUUCCCAAACGUCCCAAAUAAAAUAUAAAAAAGUGCAUGUUUAGCCUUUAUUUAAUAAACUCCCUAAUGUGGUAGGGGGUAAUUUUGCACAUGGAAACUUGUUAUAACAGUAAAAGGAGUUGGGCAUUCUGUGGGCCAAGCUAACCUAGUCCACGUAGAGUUGUUCAAGGUGCGUUGAUUGUGUGAGGUUUGCCCAUCUUGUGUUCGGUUUGUAAUGACCUGGCUAGGAAAUGCUAGAAAAGAAGCAGUUUCACAAAAGAUUGAUUGUGAACGCUGCGAGCAGGGUUCGAACCUGCGCGGGGAGACCCCAUUGGAUUUCAAGUCCAACGCCUUAACCACUCGGCCAUCGCAGCUGACAGAGAUACUACAGCCACACAGGGUAUUAAUAGCUGAGCAACACCCGUUGGUACGGACGUUUGAGGUAUGCAGUGUAGUAUGCAAAACACACGCUUCGCUCGCGAAACUAUGGUGUCAAUUCAUUGCCUGAUGUAUUGUAGUACAUUAGGUAGCUCAUUGGCUACCGACUAAUCCCAAUUCUUAUGUCAACAUACCAGUUUCAAAGGGCCACUGUUUCGGAUGCCAUAACAUAAAAGGCAGAAAUACUGAGCAUGCUACGACAAGGCGUGGAUGUCUACAACUUCUUAAAGAUGCAGGCCCCAAAGACUGUGACGUACCCGGUGUGAUGCAAAGGCUUUCUGGGCAGGCUCACAGACAUCUGUUAACUGAAAGAGAAGUCUUUAAAAUAGUUGUCCAUUUUGACCACGACUGCAUUGACAACAUGCCCCGGGCACACUGUCUGAUUCCCAUUUCUCAGUGCCUGCACAAAAACAGUGACUUUUCCAUCAGCUCACCUCAAGUCUUUUGAGGAGUUUUAAAAACAGUUGUUUUAAUUUCUCUAAAGCGUGGUGCAGAAUUUCACAGAAUCUAAUGGACUUGAUUCUGUGUUUCAAAGAUCUUUGCAAAACCCUCAAACAGUCUUUGGUACAAAACAUAUUUAAUGGUCAAACAUUAAAAAGUGAAGUUUUAUAAAAUACCAGUGGUGAUUAUUAGCCAUUUAUUUUCUUGGGGGAGGGGGGGGCAGUAUUUUGUAAGGCAGAUGAGAUCUGUUCAUAUUGUUAGUUUUUGUUGCAUCCUACUGUGAUGACAAGCAUAGAUCAGUACGGACAUGUAAAUGUCUUGGCCAUCAUUUUCCCAUGUCCCACAAGGGUUGAACAGUAGGGACAGUGGAGACAGGUCUGUGUCAGAGAGAGGACAAGCCACAGAGGGAACAACUCCAACAGUUUCCUGCUCUGCCUGGUUUAAGUUAGACUGUCGUCGAAUGUCCACAGCAUCCUGCAUAUAUAUACACCUUAGAUGAAACUCAGUAGCUGCAUUUUGUGACAGUUAACUUUCUGUGAAUCUGCAAUAUUUAAGGUUGAGAAUAAAAUGGUUUUGGAAGAAAGUUCUGGUACCUCAAAUAAAAAAACAUAAAAAUA